CUUCUGGGUGUCGUGUCGAACGAUCGCAGAACGAUUUUUUGUUCUUUUCCAACUCGAUUUUUAACUCCCUAGACUAGUAGGAUGUUCCAACGGGUGAAGCAACAGUGCUGACGGCAGAGUUUCAGUGUCAAUUUUUCAUGCCAUGAUCACUGGGGCGGAAACCAUUAUGACGUUGCCUUGGACAUCAAACUAAACCAUCUCAUUCUUGCUUUUUUCUAACAUCGAAAUCUCAGAAGGCCAGGACUAAGAUGGACGCAGCCUCCACAUGCAACCUUGCAUUUGAGGAACACCCAUAGAACGGUCAACUUACCCCAUACUCUAACCUGAAUGCAGUGAUCAUAAAACUUUAUCUUUUACCUUAAUUGUUAGAUGGGUGUUGAUACCAAACUAUUUUUUCUCGUCUACCCAGGAGAAAGUCAUGGGUUCUGCUGCUGAGGUUGUCAUAAAGCAUGCUUUUUCCAUUUGUUGCAUUGGGCAAUAUUAUCAAAAGAUUCUGAAAGAAAUAAGAUAAUUUUCAAAGCACUAACAUGAAUAUGAAAGCAUUAAGUCAUUAAUGACCAUCUUUUAUUAUUGUUUAUUUAUAGUGUCUUUUAUUCUGCUUACCUGACUCAUGCAGAAUUCUGGCUUGAUGUUUGGUCCACCUGUUAGCUGGCUCUGGUGCUUGGUAGUCUUCUCAAACCUCUGAAUCAAGGCCACCAUGAGAGGCCUUCUGAAGACCAUCAUUACGCUUCAGAUCCAGUUGUCUUAACUAUGAGCCUACCACAAUCCCUGUGCACCAGCUAUGGAAAGUGCAGACCAAACUUCUACCUCCACCUAUAGAACUGAACUGGAGUCUGUGAACUAAUGCUGUGUUCGAGACAACUGGAACAGCAAACAAAGUGGAGUAUCCGACCUCUCAACUUGUGACUGAUCGAUCAGCACCAACCUCAACGAGAUGCAUCAUUUGACAUUGCAGACAAGAUCCUUUCUCUUUUUAAUGCAGCACUUAAGGAUGAAGCACCCUGAUCUACUAAGAUGCACAGAUUCAACUCUGGCCCAGCAUCAUCCCCACACCUCAUCGGCCAUCAGUUUAAUUUAAUGUCUGUCAAUUGCAAAUGCUAUUUAUUUCAGUUAUAUUACAACUUAAUGUUAACUUUAAUUGAGACUAGUAUUGUGUAAAGCUGGGGUUUCCAAACUUUUCAUUUCAAAACCUAUUAGACAAGUGUAAUCUAUUCUAGACCCACUAAAAUAUUUUUACAUAUACAUUUUUUUAAUGGGGUAAAACACAUUUGUUCUCUUUCAGUGGAGUCAUUUUAUUUUCAUAAUAUUUCAUAAUGUAAAGCAGUGGUUCUUAACGUUAUUCUUCGAGGCCCACUGCUCUGCACAUUUUGUAUGUCUCUUUUAUCUGACAGACUCAGUUCAGUUCAUUGAGAUCUCUUCUAAUGAGCUGAUGAUUUGAAUCAGGUGUGUUAAAUAAGGGAGACAUACAAAAUGUGCAGGGCAGUGGGCCUCGAGGAAUAACAUUAAGAACCACUGAUGUAAAGUAAAUACAAGUUUAUUUGCAAUACCAAAUAUUUUAUGGUAUAUUCUUUCAAAACCAUUGUCAUUGUUAAUUAUUAAUUUGGCCAAACUGUUGUUGCAUCAUUAAGGUGUGCAACACACCUUAACCUACUGUGUGACCGACAAGUGGGUCCUCCUGACCCACAGUUUAAAAUCCCCUGGUGUACUGAAUGUAUUGUAAUUAAAGUCGCAUCUAAGUCUUG
Non-coding RNA from Paramisgurnus dabryanus, 1742 nucleotides. Lineage: Eukaryota; Metazoa; Chordata; Actinopteri; Cypriniformes; Cobitidae. The record is from RefSeq and is a predicted model, not a curated record.